CAGCAGCCGCGGGAAUACGGAGGGUGCAAGCGUUAUCCGGAUUCACUGGGUUUAAAGGGUGCGUAGGCGGAUCUGUAAGUCAGUGGUGAAAUCUCCAGGCUUAACCUGGAAACUGCCGUUGAUACUAUAGGUCUUGAAUUUUGCGGAGGUUAGCGGAAUAUGUCAUGUAGCGGUGAAAUGCAUAGAUAUGACAUAGAACACCAAUUGCGAAGGCAGCUGGCUACACAACUAUUGACGCUGAGGCACGAAAGCGUGGGGAUCAAACAGGAUUAGAUACCCCUGUAGUCCCUGUCUCUUAUAU
This 301-nucleotide ribosomal RNA is filed under the name uncultured bacterium. RNAcentral's name for it is "partial 16S ribosomal RNA". It matches the Rfam family "Bacterial small subunit ribosomal RNA", at positions 509 to 809 of the family's 1533-position model. The record is from RNAcentral.